Molecule: ribosomal RNA, 417 nt
Filed under: uncultured bacterium
Lineage: Bacteria
Description: bacterial SSU rRNA
Rfam family: Bacterial small subunit ribosomal RNA
Source: RNAcentral
UGGGGAAUUUUGGACAAUGGGCGCAAGCCUGAUCCAGCCAUGCCGCGUGCAGGAAGAAGGUCUUCGGGUUGUAAACUGCUUUUGUACGGAGCGAAAAGCCCCUGGCGAAUAACCGGGGGUCAUGACGGUACCGUAAGAAUAAGCACCGGCUAACUACGUGCCAGCAGCCGCGGUAAUACGUAGGGUGCCAGCGUUAAUCGGAAUUACUGGGCGUAAAGCGUGCGCAGGCGGUUUUGUAAGACAGAGGUGAAAUCCCCGGGCUCAACCUGGGAACUGCCUUUGUGACUGCAAAGCUGGAGUGCGGCAGAGGGGGAUGGAAUUCCGCGUGUAGCAGUGAAAUGCGUAGAUAUGCGGAGGAACAGCGAUGGCGAAGGCAAUCCUCUGGGCCUGCACUGACGCUCAUGCACGAAAGCGUGG